GGAUCCCAUCAGAACUCCGAAGUUAAGCGUGCUUGGGCGAGAGUAGUACUAGGAUGGGUGACCUCCUAGGAAGUCCUCGUGUUGCAUUCUC
This 91-nucleotide ribosomal RNA is filed under the name Hordeum vulgare. Lineage: Eukaryota; Viridiplantae; Streptophyta; Magnoliopsida; Poales; Poaceae. The record is from RNAcentral.